Long non-coding RNA from Notothenia coriiceps (black rockcod), 358 nucleotides. RefSeq lists it as uncharacterized. The transcript is spliced from 5 exons. NCBI's taxonomy places the organism in Eukaryota, Metazoa, Chordata, Actinopteri, Perciformes, Nototheniidae. The record is from RefSeq and is a predicted model, not a curated record.
CUGCAGGAGAGACUGAGGGCGAGUGAGAGCUCAGUGGAGGAGCUGAGGAGGAAGGUGGAGAAGCAGAACGAGGUUCAAGCCGUAAAAGUUUCAUCGCUUGAGUUCAGACUGAACACGAGUGAGGACGACGUGAAGAAGAAACAUUUAGAUCUGAAGAUGAAGGUGGAGGAGCUGGAGGAGCAGAACAAAGUUCGAGCCAUCAAGGUUUCAUCGCUUGAGUUCAGACUGGACACGAGCGAGAGCUUAGUGGACGACCUGAAGAAGAAAAAUUCAGCUCUGGCAGGGGAGCUGCCGUUCCUGCAGACGAGACUGAGGGCGAGUGAGAGCACCGUGGAGCAGCUGAGGAGGAGGAACACAG